UAAUUUAAAGUCUAACCUGCCCAAUGAAAAUUUUAAUGGCCGCAGUAUUUUGACUGUGCAAAGGUAGCAUAAUCAUUAGUUUUUUAAUUAAAAACUGGAAUGAAAGGUUGAACGAAAAAAUAAUUGUCUCUUUAUAAUUUUUUUAGAAUUUUAUUUUUAAGUUAAAAAGCUUAAAUAUAUUUAAAAGACGAGAAGACCCUAUAGAGUUUUAUAUUUUAAAAAUUAUUAUUUUAAUUGAAUUUUUAAAAUGUAAUUUUAAAGAAUAUUUAAUUGGGGUGAUUGAAAAAUUUAAAAAACUUUUUUUUUAUACAACUUUUAUAAAUGAAUAAUUGAUCCAUUUUUAUGAUUAAAAGAUUAAAUUACCUUAGGGAUAACAGCGUUAUUUCUUUUUAGAGUUCUUAUCAAUAAAGAAGUUUGCGACCUCGAUGUUGGAUUAAAAUAAAUUUAUGGUGUAGAAGCUAUAAUAUUAGGUCUGUUCGACCUUUAAAAUUUU
Molecule: ribosomal RNA, 493 nt
Filed under: Aleochara punctatella
Lineage: Eukaryota; Metazoa; Arthropoda; Insecta; Coleoptera; Staphylinidae
Description: partial 16S ribosomal RNA
Rfam family: Bacterial large subunit ribosomal RNA
Source: RNAcentral